This 107-nucleotide non-coding RNA is filed under the name Otolemur garnettii (small-eared galago). Lineage: Eukaryota; Metazoa; Chordata; Mammalia; Primates; Galagidae. The record is from RNAcentral.
GGCUAGUCUGAAGGUGCAGUGAGUUAUCUCUGAUUGUUCACAAUCAUUUACAUACCAAACUCCUUAUUCUACUUUUUUCCCCCUGCUCACUCUGCACUAGAGUUAAA